GUAGGGUGCGAGCGUUAAUCGGAAUUACUGGGCGUAAAGCGUGCGCAGGCGGUUUGGUAAGACAGGCGUGAAAUCCCCGGGCUUAACCUGGGAACUGCGUUUGUGACUGCCAAGCUAGAGUACGGCAGAGGGGGGUGGAAUUCCACGUGUAGCAGUGAAAUGCGUAGAGAUGUGGAGGAACACCAAUGGCGAAGGCAGCCCCCUGGGUCGACACUGACGCUCAUGCACGAAAGCGUGGGUAGCAAACAGGAUUAGAUACCCUGGUAGUCCACGCCCUAAACGAUGUCAACUAGGUGUUGGGAGGGUAAAACCUUUUAGUACCGUAGCUAACGCGAGAAGUUGACCGCCUGGGGAGUACGGCCGCAAGGUUA
Molecule: ribosomal RNA, 371 nt
Filed under: uncultured bacterium
Lineage: Bacteria
Description: bacterial SSU rRNA
Rfam family: Bacterial small subunit ribosomal RNA
Source: RNAcentral